This 64-nucleotide transfer RNA is filed under the name Elateridae sp. 2 ACP-2013. RNAcentral describes it as "tRNA-Thr". Lineage: Eukaryota; Metazoa; Arthropoda; Insecta; Coleoptera; Elateridae. The record is from RNAcentral.
UGUUUUAAUAAUUUAAAUAAAAUAUUGGUCUUGUAAACCAACAAUAAGUAGAAGCUUUUAAAAC